Molecule: transfer RNA, 73 nt
Filed under: Marmota monax (woodchuck)
Lineage: Eukaryota; Metazoa; Chordata; Mammalia; Rodentia; Sciuridae
Description: tRNA.Ala
Source: RNAcentral
CUGAGAAUGCAGCUCAGUGGUAAAGUGCUCACCUAGCAUGUGUGAGACUAGAGUUCAAUCCCCAAUACUUAAA